AUGAAGGAGUUCCUGAAGAAACAGACUACCGACUCGAUGUUCCUCGUGUGCACAGACAGAGCUUCGCGAGGGAUCGACUUCACAAACGUGAACCACGUGGUGCUCUUCGACUACCCCUGUGACCCGAGCGAGUACGUGCGCAGGGUCGGCAGGACAGCCCGCGGCGCAUCGGGUGACGGCAAGGCUUUCGUGUUCGCGGUGGGGAAGCAGGUGUCCCUGGCCAGGAGGGUGAUGGAGAGGAACCUCAAGGGGCACCCGCUACACGACGUCCCGUGCUUCCAGUUCUAG
This 288-nucleotide ribosomal RNA is filed under the name Triticum aestivum (bread wheat). RNAcentral describes it as "partial small subunit ribosomal RNA". The record is from RNAcentral. Lineage: Eukaryota; Viridiplantae; Streptophyta; Magnoliopsida; Poales; Poaceae.